GGUCAAGUUAUUAAGGGUGCAGGGCGGAUGCCUUGGCACUAGGAGCCGAUGAAGGACGUGAUAAGCUGCGAUAAGCUUCGGGGAGUUGCACGUAAACUUUGAUCCGAAGAUUUCCGAAUGAGGAAACUCACUUAGAGUAAUGUCUAAGUAUCAUUAAGUGAAUACAUAGCUUAAUGAGGGGAACUCAGGGAACUGAAACAUCUAAGUACCUGAAGGAAGAGAAAGAAAUUCGAUUCCGUAAGUAGCGGCGAGCGAACGCGGAUUAGCCCAAACCAAUAAAGUUUUCUUUAUUGGGGUUGCGGACAUAUCAUAACGAAGAGGUAUCGUAAUUGAAGAGGUUUGGAAAGACCCACCACAGAAGGUAAUAGUCCUGUAUGUUAAACGAGAAGACUUUAGAUAUGAUCCAGAGUACCACGGGACACGUGAAACCCUGUGGGAAGCAGGAGGGACCACCCUCCAAGGCUAAAUACUACCUAGUGACCGAUAGCGUAUAGUACCGUGAGGGAAAGGUGAAAAGAACCCCGGGAGGGGAGUGAAAUAGAACCUGAAACCCUGCACUUACAAGCUGUGGAAGCACAUUUCUUGUGUGACCGCGUACUUUUUGUAGAACGGGCCAACGAGUUACGUUAAGUAGCAAGGUUAAGCACUUAAGGUGUGGAGCCGUAGCGAAAGCGAGUUUUAACUGAGCGUUCAGUUACUUGACGUAGACCCGAAACCGGGCGACCUACCCAUGAGCAGGAUGAAGCGAAAGUAAAAUUUCGUGGAGGUCCGAACCCACGAGCGUUGAAAAGCUCGGGGAUGACUUGUGGGUAGCGGUGAAAUUCCAAUCGAGCCCGGAGAUAGCUGGUUCUCCCCGAAAUAGCUUUAGGGCUAGCCUCAAGGUGAGAGAUACGGAGGUAGAGCACUGAAUGUCCUAGGGGGUAUUGCACCUACCGAAGACUAUCAAACUCCGAAUGCCGUCAUCUUAUACUUGGGAGUCAGACUGUGGGUGAUAAGAUUCAUAGUCGAAAGGGCAACAGCCCAGAUCGUCAGCUAAGGUCCCUAAAUGUAAGUUAAGUGGUAAAGGAUGUGGGAUUGCACAGACAACCAGGAUGUUGGCUUAGAAGCAGCCACUCAUUCAAAGAGUGCGUAAUAGCUCACUGGUCGAGUGAUCCUGCGCCGAAGAUUUCCGGGGCUAAAACUUACUACCGAAGCUACGGCAUCAGUAAUGAUGGGUAGGGGAGCUUCCCAUACGGGUUGAAGCAUGACCGUAAGGACAUGUGGACAGUAUGGGAGUGAGAAUGUUGGCAUGAGUAGCGAGAUGUGGGUGAGAAUCCCACAGGCCGUAAACCCAAGGUUUCCAGGGGAAGGUUCGUCCGCCCUGGGUUAGUCGGGACCUAAGCUGAGGCCGAAAGGCGUAGGUGAUGGACAACAGGUUGAU
This 1420-nucleotide ribosomal RNA is filed under the name Clostridioides difficile. RNAcentral describes it as "partial 23S ribosomal RNA". It matches the Rfam family "Bacterial large subunit ribosomal RNA", at positions 1 to 1434 of the family's 2925-position model. Lineage: Bacteria; Bacillati; Bacillota; Clostridia; Peptostreptococcales; Peptostreptococcaceae. The record is from RNAcentral.